UAACUCUUUUUUAUGUUUUAUUUAUUUUUGAGAGCAAGAGAGACAGAGCACAUGCAGGGGAGGGUCAGAAAGAGAGGGAGACAGAAUGUGAAGCUGGCAGGCUUCAGGCUCCAAGCUGUCAGUACAGAGCCCAACGUGAGGCUCAAACUCACAGACUGCAAGAUCAUGACCUGAGUCGAAGUCGGACGCCUAACCGACUGAGCCACCCAGGCACCCCUUGGAGAUGAGAAAACAGACUGGAGGAUAAGCUUGUUAGUUGAUAGAGCUAAGAUUUGAACCCAGAUCAGUUUAAUGCCAGAAAACCCAGCAUAUUGCCGCUGUAAGGCAGAGUUGUAGUGGAGAGGUGGACGUGGCAUGUCCCCUCUGUUCAAAGAACUUGCAAUCUGUUGUCUGUUUCUCCUGAUGCUCCCGAUUCUGAUGUGAUUUCCGCAAAGGCUCCUACUCCUGAUGGCACAACUGGGAAUAGUCACGUGUUGGAUUACCCAAAGCUCAGCAGAAAACAUAAUGAAUAAAAGUGACGCUUUAAGAUGAAGCACAUAAGAAGUGAUGGGUGGGAGAGAAAUUUUGGUAUGUGACUCACCUCUUUCUUGCGAAGAUGCCCACUGGUUCUCCAAAUCAAUAUAGAAUGAACUCAAGACAAAUUUGUGAUUGAGAGCUCAUGCACAGAACAUCUGAAGCCUAAACAGAUCCUGCCAUUGACUGAGAUGGUGAUGAAUGCAAACAAGGCAAGAGAAGAAGGAAGCGUAUUGCCAGGUGGGGGUGAGAGAUAGAGGUCAUCAAGGCUACUAUGGGAGUGACCAGCCAGGACACUGAUCAGUGGUCUGUCCAGUUCUAGCCUGCUGAGUUUUGGGAAGAAGCUGAGGAGUUACCAAUCCAUUUCAAUCUAAACUUCUUGCAGCCUCUGCUAAUUCCCCUUUGGGUGACGCUUGCUGUUCAUAUUCCAUGCCAUCCACAUUGGACUUGAUCACUUCCUUGUUUGGAGGCUCUUAAGCUGUAGUGACUCAGAAUUUAUUGAGUCACUCAAUACUUAUUGUAUUAAGAUAGAAUUAACAUGCUAUGAAAUUCAUCCUUCUCAUAUAUACAGUUCAGUGGUUUUUUUAGUAUAUUCACAAAGUAGUGCAGCCACUACUGCUAAUUACAGGACAAUAUUCAUCACCCGCAAAGGAAACUUCGUAUCUAUUAGCGAUUGUGCCUAUCAUGCUUAUCCUUCCCUUCUCUCCACUCCUGGAAACUACUGAUGUACAUUCUGUCCCUAUGGAGUUGCCCCUUCUGGACAGUUCAUUCAUUCAUUCUUCAUUCAUUUAAGGUUUAUUUUGAGAGAGAGAGCAUGCGUGAGCACAUGCGUGAGCGGUGAGAGACAGAGAGAGAGCGAGACAGGGAAUCUCAAGCAGGCUUUGCACUGUCAGAGCAGAGCCUGAUGCUCGAACCCAGGAACCACGAGAUCAUGACCUGAGCCGAAAUCAAAAGUCAGACACUUAACUAACUGACUGAGCCAUGCAGGAACCCGUGGACAGUUUAUUUAAAUAGAAUCAAAUAAUCUGUAGCCUUUUACAUCUCAAGGUUUAUCUAUAUUGUAGCAUGAAUCAGUGCCUCACUUCUUUUCAUAAUUGAAUAUAUUCCAUUGAUGAAUAUACCCCAUUUUUAAUCCAUUCAUCAGUUGAUGGACAUGUGGACUGUUUCUACUUUCUGGAAAGCGAUUGUGAAUAAUGCUUCUACGAACACUGUACAAAUGUUUUUGUGGACAUGUGUUUUAAAUUCUCUUGGCUGUAUACCUGGGAGGGGAGUUGCUGAGCCAUGAGGUAACAUUACGUUUACUUUCUGAGGAGCUGUCAGAAUGUUUUCCACAGUGACUGCACCAUUUCACAUUCUCACGAGUAUAUAAGGGUUUCUAUUUCUCUACAUUCUCACCCACACUUUUUAUUGUCUGUCUUUUUUACGACAGCCAUUCUAGGGUGUGCGUGGAGUUGUAUUUCCCUGUGGUUCUGAUUUGCAUUCUCCUAAUAUGUUAAGCAUUUCUUCAUAUUUAUUGAUCCUUUGUAUAUUUUCUUUGGAGAGAUGUCUAUUUAAAAAUACUUUUAUCACUGAGUGGCAAGAGUCUUCUAUAUGUAUUCUCAAAACUCACUUUUAAUUAUAUAUUAUGUAUUAAUUACGUACUAAUCAACUGAUUACCACAGUAGUUUCUUAUUACAGUAUAAUCCUCAGCAUGCUGACUUCCUGUGUGGCUUUUUAACUUAAUAGUUUUUGUCUUGCUUGACAAUACAGCUUUCUCUCAGUAUUUUCUCCAAUAGCUGUGCUCUUGCCUGAGUAUGGUCCCUAGGCCUCCGUAACAAUAAGAAGGAUGCAGGCCACUGUUGGAGGAGCAAAGAGUCAUUUCCUAAUUGGAGCCGUGUUAGUUUUUAUUGGUACAUACCAAAUUACUUCAAGCAGAGAGGCUUCAAACAACACAUGCUUAGUAUCUCACAGUUUCCAUGGAUCAGGAGUUGGGGCAUGGCUACGCUGGGUCCUUGGUUCAGAGUUGCACAAGCCAGUAAUCAGCUGUGCUAUGUUCUCAUCAGAAGCUCAAAUAGAGCAAGAUCCACUUCUAUACUUCCUUAGCCUGGAAUGAGGAGUGGCAGAAUUUAUCUCCUUGCAGCUGGAGAACUCAUAGCCUUCAAGGCCAGAAUCUUGUAAUGAGUCUCUUGGCUGAGGGAGGGACCUGGUGUCUCUUCUAGGGGCCUUUACUUGAUUAAGUCAGGCCCACCCAGGUGCUCUCCCUGUUGAUUAACUCAAGCCAAGUGAUUUGGAACCAUAAUUAGAUCUGCAAAAAUUCUUUCAUCUCUGCUACAUUCUUAAAAAAAAUUUUUUUUAAUGUUUAUUUAUCUUUGAGAGAGAGAGAGAGAGAGAGAGAGCACAAGCAGGGGAGGGGCAGUGAGAGAGGGAGACACAGAAUCUGAAGCAGGCUCUAGGCUCUGAGCUGUCAGCACAGAGCCUGAUGAAGGGCUCAAACUCAGAAGCUGUAAGAUCAUGACCUGAGCUGAAGUCAGACACUUAACCGACUGAGCCACCCAGGCACCCCUCACCUUUGCUAUGUUCUAUUGGCUACAAGCAAAUCCUACGUCCCAUCCACAAAGUUGGUGGUGGGGGGUUGUUGUACAAGGGUGUGAGUCACUGGGAGCUACCUUAAGGUGUUUCUUAUAGGACAGUAACUGGAAAAGGGCUUCCCCCUAUUAAGCAAAAAAAACCACC
Long non-coding RNA from Acinonyx jubatus (cheetah), 3225 nucleotides. RefSeq lists it as uncharacterized. The transcript is spliced from 5 exons. Lineage: Eukaryota; Metazoa; Chordata; Mammalia; Carnivora; Felidae. The record is from RefSeq and is a predicted model, not a curated record.